Molecule: non-coding RNA, 99 nt
Organism: Tulasnella sp. 332
Lineage: Eukaryota; Fungi; Basidiomycota; Agaricomycetes; Cantharellales; Tulasnellaceae
Source: the annotation of a GenBank genome assembly
GGGUGUGUGGCGCAGUGGUAGCGCGCCUCAUUCGCAUUCGGGUGUUGGCCUGAUAUAUUAGCCUUGAGGAGGUCUAGGGUUCGAGUCCCUACUCAUCCA